This is a non-coding RNA of Mycena albidolilacea, 91 nucleotides long. NCBI's taxonomy places the organism in Eukaryota, Fungi, Basidiomycota, Agaricomycetes, Agaricales, Mycenaceae. The record is from the annotation of a GenBank genome assembly.
UCUUGACUAGUAUAUCGGUUAGUACACGCGCUUGUCAUAAGCCCUACGGAUCGAUGCGCGCGAAAGCUGGGUUCGACUCCCAGGUCGAGAG